AUUGAACGCUGGCGGCAGGCCUAACACAUGCAAGUCGAGCGGAUGAAGGGAGCUUGCUCCUGGAUUCAGCGGCGGACGGGUGAGUAAUGCCUAGGAAUCUGCCUGGUAGUGGGGGAUAGCGUCCGGAAACGGGCGCUAAUACCGCAUACGUCCUGAGGGAGAAAGUGGGGAUCUUCGGACCUCACGCUAUCAGAUGAGCCUAGGUCGGAUUAGCUAGUUGGUGGGGUAAAGGCCUACCAAGGCGACGAUCCGUAACUGGUCUGAGAGGAUGAUCAGUCACACUGGAACUGAGACACGGUCCAGACUCCUACGGGAGGCAGCAGUGGGGAAUAUUGGACAAUGGGCGAAAGCCUGAUCCAGCCAUGCCGCGUGUGUGAAGAAGGUCUUCGGAUUGUAAAGCACUUUAAGUUGGGAGGAAGGGCAGUAAGUUAAUACCUUGCUGUUUUGACGUUACCAACAGAAUAAGCACCGGCUAACUUCGUG
This 483-nucleotide ribosomal RNA is filed under the name uncultured bacterium. RNAcentral describes it as "partial 16S ribosomal RNA". It matches the Rfam family "Bacterial small subunit ribosomal RNA", at positions 30 to 507 of the family's 1533-position model. The record is from RNAcentral.